This 965-nucleotide ribosomal RNA is filed under the name uncultured bacterium. RNAcentral's name for it is "bacterial SSU rRNA". It matches the Rfam family "Bacterial small subunit ribosomal RNA", at positions 54 to 1017 of the family's 1533-position model. The record is from RNAcentral.
CAUGCAGUCGAGGGGCAGCGGGGUGUAGCAAUACACUGCCGGCGACCGGCGCACGGGUGCGUAACGCGUAUGCAACCUACCCAUAACAGGGGCAUAACACUGAGAAAUUGGUACUAAUUCCCCAUAACAUUCGAAGAGGCAUCUCUUUGGGUUGAAAACUCCGGUGGUUAUGGAUGGGCAUGCGUUGUAUUAGCUAGUUGGUGGGGUAACGGCUCACCAAGGCGACGAUACAUAGGGGGACUGAGAGGUUAACCCCCCACAUUGGUACUGAGACACGGACCAAACUCCUACGGGAGGCAGCAGUGAGGAAUAUUGGUCAAUGGACGCAAGUCUGAACCAGCCAUGCCGCGUGCAGGAUGACGGCUCUAUGAGUUGUAAACUGCUUUUGUACGAGGGUAAACUCACCUACGUGUAGGUGACUGAAAGUAUCGUACGAAUAAGGAUCGGCUAACUCCGUGCCAGCAGCCGCGGUAAUACGGAGGAUUCAAGCGUUAUCCGGAUUUAUUGGGUUUAAAGGGUGCGUAGGCGGUUAGAUAAGUUAGAGGUGAAAUCCCGGGGCUUAACUCCGAAAUUGCCUCUAAUACUGUUUGACUAGAGAGUAGUUGCGGUAGGCGGAAUGUAUGGUGUAGCGGUGAAAUGCUUAGAGAUCAUACAGAACACCGAUUGCGAAGGCAGCUUACCAAACUAUAUCUGACGUUGAGGCACGAAAGCGUGGGGAGCAAACAGGAUUAGAUACCCUGGUAGUCCACGCAGUAAACGAUGAUAACUCGCUGUCGGCGAUACACAGUCGGUGGCUAAGCGAAAGCGAUAAGUUAUCCACCUGGGGAGUACGUUCGCAAGAAUGAAACUCAGAGGAAUUGACGGGGGCCCGCACAAGCGGAGGAACAUGUGGUUUAAUUCGAUGAUACGCGAGGAACCUUACCCGGGCUUGAAAGUUAGCGACGGAUCUGGAAACAGGUCUUCCC